GCCUUCGUGGUGUAGUGGUCAGCACGCUCGACGCGUACCCGAAAGGUCCGUGGUUCGAUUCCCGGCGAAGGCG
This is a non-coding RNA of Stegodyphus mimosarum, 73 nucleotides long. Lineage: Eukaryota; Metazoa; Arthropoda; Arachnida; Araneae; Eresidae. The record is from Rfam.